UACUUUAAACAUGUGACUACUAGAAAAUGUUUAAUUACAUAUGUAGCUCACAUUACAAUUCUCUUCAGCAGUGCUGUUCUAUCAUGUUCUUUAAACCUUCUCAGAUCAAGUAUUACCCCCUUGGGAUUUGCAUUUUUGCUCCAUCUCUGCUUGAGACAAACACCACACAGGAGAUACUGAAAGACUUGGUCAGCUGUAUGUGGUGGUGCACACCAGCAAUCCCAGCACUCCGGAGGCAAGAGCACCUGAGUUUGAGAACCAGGCCUAGGUGGCUGACGCGAGUCAGAGGCGUGCGGAGUCUCAGAAUCUCCCCCUGCACAGUAGGCCGCACCUACAAACGGGGUCCGGCACCAUUACUGCCACACAAGCUAUCCCCCAAUCCCUCGAUCUGAGGCAGACCCUGGCUGUUCCCGGACUCAUCUGCCUAAGGAAAACAAUCACACCCGAGCCUGGCUCACCGAGCUCACUCUUCGCUCUAUUCCAACGAUGCCAAGCACAGGAUUCCACCGAGCCUGGAUUCUACUGGACGCCCAGCUCUGUCAGGACCGCGCAGGCGCAGGCGAAGACCCGGCGCGGGGCGGGGCCCAGGUCCGGGGCUGCUCCGCGCUGGGAAGGGAGAGGAGCCGGGACCCACAGGGGAGGGCGGCAGGAGAGGCGGGGCGCCCAGGUGGUCCUGAUGUUCAGUGUUUCACGCCUAUGGAGGGAACCCCCUGCGUGACCACUGCUCUUGAGGAUAUCCCACCUGCACCCUUGUGGGAGCUCCAGUCCCCACACAAAAAGCCUUCCGUACACUCCGGGUUUUCUCAUUAGGGUCUAGGCUCAGCGCUCGUCCACAAGCACCGCCCCUGGGAGGCGCCAGUGGUUUCCGUCCACAGCACGCAGGCGCGUGAGGGACCCGGGGAUCCCGACACCCUGCUCCAGCGGGUGUUGUGGGGGCAUUAGGCUGCCCUAGCCCGAGGGCUGAGGGUAGUUUGGCUCUAGGGCCCCACGUUGGGCUGAAAUGGCCAAAUCUUUAGACCUGGGGUGGUGGUGGUGGUCGCCUUUGUUCUCUUGGUUAAGGUGCUAUUGUUUGGGCUUAGCCACUGUACAAUUAUCAUAUUGCGCUUUGUAGUUACUGUUUUGUGGGAAGAUACAUUGACACUAUAUAAAUGUCUUGUUCCUCAUCAAACUUUUACCCCCUAGUUUUAGCAUCCACUGAUUAUUUUUACCUGAACCACUUAUGACUGUGAUGGUGUGAUGUGAUUUUCUAAUUAUUUUUCUUGUUACACCCACUAGCAUUCUACUGUAAGAAAGCACUUUCUCACCGAUUUUAUUUAAUUUCUCAUUAAACGGUUUGUAUUAAUUAUUAACUCAAUGGGUUCUUAUUUACUCAAUGAGUUCUCUAAUUUUUUUUCAUUUUGAUACUUGUGUUAUCCAAGAUUUGGCCCGUGAGAACCCCUUCUAGGUGGAUAUUCCAUACUGAUAGGUCCCUAACAUAUUUUACUAUUUCCCUCUGUUGUGGCAUAAAAACAUAUUUCAGGCUCAUCUUGUGCAAUCAGGGUCCUAGCCACGGUAUGGGAAACAAAGCGGUUACUUAAAUAAGGCUAGAGAAAUAGGGAGGAGACAUUUUCUCAUGCA
Fukomys damarensis (Damara mole-rat) is the source of this 1617-nucleotide long non-coding RNA. The record is from Ensembl. Lineage: Eukaryota; Metazoa; Chordata; Mammalia; Rodentia; Bathyergidae.